GCGCAAGGCACCUGCUGGCAAUGGCAGGAGGCGGACGUGGGGGGUCGUGCAGUAGGUACUGGAGGGAGAGACGUGGGCACAAAGGUCGCGGGAGGAACAGGUGCCCACAAUGGCUGCAUAUUUGCCCGUGGAUCACUGAAGAUUCCUGCUCUCCUGCUGAGGUGGAGACUGCAGUGAGCUGAGAUCGCACCAUUGCACUCCAGCCUGGGCAACGAGUGCAAAACUCAGUCUCCAGAUAAAAAAAAGAAAAAGAAAAAAAAGAGGCCGGGUGUGGUGGCUUAUGCCUAUGAUCCUAGCACUUUGGGAGGUCGGGGUGGACGGAUCACGAGAUCAGGAGUUGGAGGCCAGCCUGGCCAACAUAGUGAAAGCCCGUCUCUAGUAAAAAUACAAAAUUUAGUCAGACAUGGUGGGCAGGAGAGAGCAUGUGCAGGGGAACAUCCAUUUAUAAAACCAUCAGACCUCAUGAGACUUAUUCACUACCAUGAGAACAGCAUGGGGGAAACUGCCUCCAUGAUUCAGUUAUCUCCACCUGGCCCCACCCUUGACACAUGGGAAUUGUUACAAUUCAAGAUGAGAUUUGGGUGCGGACAGAGCCAAACCAUAUAAUUCUUCCCCGGCCCCUCCCAAAUCUCAUGUCCUCAUAUUUCAAAAGCAAUCAUGCCUUCCCCUAAGUCCCCCAAACUCUUAUUUCAGCAUUAACUCAAAAUUCCAUAGUCCAAAGUCUCAUCUGAGACAAGGCAAGUCCCUUCCACCUAUGAGCCUGUAAAAUCAAAAGCAAGUUAGUUAUUUUCUAGAUACACAGGGAUACAGGCAUUGGGUAAAUACACUCGUUUCAAAUGGGAGAAAUUGGCCAAAGCAAAAGAGCUACAGGCCCCAUGCAAGUCCAAAACCCAGCAGGCAAAUCUUAAAGCUCCAAAAUGACCUCCUUUGACUCCAUGUGUCACAUCUAGGUGAUGCAAGAAGUGGGUUCCCAGGGUCUUGGGCAGCCCCGCCCCUGUGGCUUUGCAGGGUACAGCCCCCCUUCUGGCUGCAUUGAGUGUCUGCAGCUUUUCCAGGCACACAGUGCAAGCUGUCAGUGGAUCUACCAUUCUGGGGUCUGGAGGAUGGUGGCCCUUUUCUCACAGCUCUGCUUGGCAGUACCCCAGUGGGGACUCUGUGUGGGAGCUCCAACCCCAUAUUUCCCUUUGACACUGCCCUAGCAGAGGUUAUCCAUGAGGGCCCCCCCCUCCCCUCCCCCCCACAGCAAACUUUUGCCUGGAUUUCCAGGCAUUUUCAUACAUCUUCUGAAAUGUAGGCGGAGGUUCAUGAACGUUAAUUCUUGACUUUGGUGCAUCUGCAGGCUUAACACCACCUAGAACCUGAAAGGCUUGGAACUUGCACCCUCUGAAGCCAUGGCCUGAGGUGUACCUUGGCCCCUUUUAUCUAUGGCAGGAGCAGCUGGGAUGCAGGGCCCCAAGUUCCUAGGCUGCACACAGCAGGGGGUUCUGGACCCACAAAACCAUUUUUCCUUCUAAGCCUCCUGGCCUGUGAUGGGAGGGUCUGCUGUGAGGGUCUCUAACAUGCCCUGGAGACAUUUGCCCCAUUGUCUUGGUGAUUAACAUUUGGCUCCUCAUUACUUAUGCAAAUUUCUACAACCCAGUCUCCUGAGAAAAUAGAUUUUUCUUUUCUGUUGCAUCAUCAGGCUACAAAUUUUCUGAACUUUUAUGCUCUGCUUCUUCUCGAAUGCUUUGCUGCUUAGAAAUUUCUUCUGUCAGAUACCUUAAAUCAUCUCUCUCAAGUUCAAAGUUCCACAGAUCUGUAGGGAACUCUAGAAAGAAAUUCUUAUUUUCCCUCUUUCCCGCCUAUCUUAUGCCCGUUUCUAAUACAGGUGCACAAUGCCUGCAGUGUCUUUGCAUAGUAAGAGUGACUUUACUCCAUUUCCCAACAAAUUCCUCAUCUGCCUCUGAGACCACCUCCGCCUGGACCUUGUUGUCCAUAUCACUAUUAACAUUUUGGUCAAAGCCAUUCAACAAGUCUCUAGGAAGUUCCAAACUUUCCCACAUUUUCCUAUCCUCUUCUGAGCCUUCCAAACUGUUCCAGCCUCUCCCUGUUACCCAUUUCCAAAGUUGCUUCCACAUUUUCGGGUAUCUUUACAGCAGCACCCCACUCUACUGGUAUCAACUUAUUGUAUUAGUCUGUUCUCACACCGCAAAUAAAGACAUACCUGAGACUGGGUAAUUUAUAAAGGAAAGAGGUUGAAUUGACUCACAGUUCUGCAUGGCUGGGGAGGCCUCACAAUCAUGGUGGAAGGCAAGGAGGUGCAAAAGCAUGUCUCACAUAGUGGCAGGCAGGAGAGAGCAUGUGCAGGGGAGCUCCCAUUUAUAAAACCAUCAGAUCUCAUGAGACUUAGUCACUACCGCGAGAACAGUAUGGGGGGAACCAUCCCCAUGAUUCAGUUAUCUGCACCCGGCCCCACCCUUGACACGUGGGAAUUAUUACAAUGCAAGGGCUGGUGAAUUACCAGAUCUCCGUCAAGUGCAGUAACCAGUUCAAGUUGGAAGUGUGUCUUUUGAAUGCAGAAAACAAAGUCGUGGACAACCAGGCUGGGACCCAGGGCCAGCUGAAGGUGCUGGGUGCCAACCUCUGGUGGCCGUACCUGAUGCACGAACACCCCGCCUCCCUGUACUCGUGGGAGGAUGGUGAUUGCUCACACCAAAGCCUUGGACCCCUCCCAGCCUGUGACCUUUGUGACCAACUCCACCUACGCAGCAGACAAGGGGGCUCUGUAUGUGGAUGUGAUCCGUGUGAACAGCUACUACUCUUGGUAUCGCAACUACGGGCACCUGGAGUUGAUUCAGCUGCAGCUGGCCGCCCAGUUUGAGAAUUGGUGUAAGACAUCACAAUCCCAUUAUUCAGAGCGCGUAUGGAGUGGAAACGCUUGUAAGGCUUCACCAGGAUCCACCUCUGAUGUUCAGUGAAGAGGACCGGAAAAGUCUGCUAGAGCAGUACCAUCUGGGUCUGGAUCAAAAACGCAGAAAAUACGUGGUUGGAGAGCUCAUCUGGAAUUUUGCCGAUUUCAUGACUAACCAGUCCAAGGAUGAAGGAAAAACUGGACCUCAUUAUGGAUUUACUUUUGGGAUACACUCAUUAUUCCAGAGGAGGGUAAAAGGCUGAGAAGCUUAAGACUUGCUAUAAUUCUGUGAGAGAGCUAUAAAAGUCUGCUCAGAAACAUUAUAAUGUAAAAUGGACAGAGAAGGACAAUGAGAUAUUUAAUUUGCCACGGCAAAGCCAUUGCUGUGAAGAAUGGAUAAUAUAUGUCAAUGGUAAUAUAUGAAGAAAUAACACAGAUGGAGCUGGCUUGAAAUCCUCUUGUUUAUGGCAGUACAUAUCGGUUAUGAUUCAAAAAAUAUAGCCCAUUUCCAAAAACCUGCAACAAAGAGAUACUUUCUCAGGUGUCAGUUUCUUGGUCGGGAAUGAAAAUAGUGCCAACCUGUGAUACCUUCACUCUAAUUUUACUUUCUGAGGAAGUUUUCUGUAAUAGUUAUUUGGUGAUAAUUAUUAAUACUGGUGAGAAAAUCAAUGUAAAAGAGGAGAAAUAACCCACACAACCACAUACAACUAGGAAAUGAUAGAUGGAUCUGAAAAAAAGGAUAUGCACUCUUAACAAGUUCAACACCCAAGUACUAUUGCAAGUACCAGCUGUAUUUCAUGGAAAAAAAAAAAAGAAUAACUCAAAAGGCAGAACGAAGAGCCUAGAGGUCAGAGAUGAGAGGCAUGAAUAAUUAUUCACAGGUGUUGAAUAUAAUCAAAUGACUUGCAACAUUUACCACUGGGAUUUUAAAAUGUGGUGGACCAAUCAUUCUUUUAGUCUGUGCAUUUUCCCAUUUUUUUCAACAGGAAUGUCUAGAGACAUUAUUCCUGUUUUGCCACUGUAUUUUUGGUGAAUGUGUAGUAAGUAACUGGCCUCUUUAGUAUCACAAAGCUGGAUGAAGAAAAUGUGGUACAUAUACACCAUGAAAUACUAUGCCGCCACAAAAAGGAAAUGAGAUCAUGUCCUCUGCAGGGACAUGGAUGAAGCUGGAAGCCAUUAUCCUUAGCAAAGUAACGCAGGAACAGAAAACCAAACACCACAUGUUGUCUCUUAGAAGUGGGAGCUGAACGAUGGGCUUUGCAGAGAUUAAAGCUUCAGAAAAAAAUAUGGGAAAAUAUGUUAAAAUGUUGACCUGAAAAUGAAGUGGAUGACUAUAAAACUCUUGAGAGAAUUAGACUUUUUGUAGCAGUUUAUUACAUGAUAAUACCUUAAAGGAGAUCACAUUCAGUGACCUGCGUUGACAGAUGUGAAUUUCUUCGGAGUAAGAAAUCCUCAGAGGAAAUUACCCAGUAUAUUCAAAGCUACAAGGGAUUUGUUGACAUAACGGUAAUGUAUAACAGCAAUUUUUUUCUCAAGUUUUUGGAUUACCUGUAAGUGUCUGACUCAGAAGGGCAUAGGCAUUCUUUUUAUGUCAUGGGUUUGAUUUCUUUCUUCCUUUCUCCUUUCAUUCCCCUGGCUCCCAUCUUCAAAGUGAAAAAUAUCACAUUCACUUGCUGACCUAGAGCCUUUUUCUUUUUCCAGGGCUGGCUUCUGACGGGCUCUGCUUGCCUUCCUGAUAGUCUUCCCCUUUAUGAAUGAAGCCACUUGCCCCAGCUUCCCUCUGCUGCCCCUAUCUGCAGGCUUGCUAAGAUCUCCUGACCUAGGCGCUGUCACCCACAGUGGGCUGCAGAGCUGGCUCUUCCUAGCUGGCUAACUAUCCUGAAUCAGUAAAAAUUUCCUAGUGGAGAGUGAUGGGAAAUCGAAUCCAAACUGGCUUAAACAAAAAUGAGAAUUUAUUGAUUAACAUGACUCAGGAGACCAGAACUCUAUAGAGAACAUGGCCUGACAGUGGGGGAAGAGAGGUGUUUCCUCAAAAAGAAACUGGGUGCAGCUUUCCCAGAAGAAUCAGUUGCUCAAUAUAUAAUACCCUGAUGAAUUUAGUUACCAUUCUAUGUCUCUUACUUCCUCAUUCGUCAAAGUACAUCUGUGAUAUUUAAAUGCAGGUCUGUUUUCAAGGUCAGUUUCCGGAAACAGUGACCCUGAGAAGGCUUCCUCCUGAGUAUGCAUAAACAUUCACAGCUUGCAUGC
This 5137-nucleotide long non-coding RNA is filed under the name Homo sapiens (human). RNAcentral's name for it is "non-protein coding lnc-SERF1B-1:6". The record is from RNAcentral. Lineage: Eukaryota; Metazoa; Chordata; Mammalia; Primates; Hominidae.